AACAAUCUCCUGAUGCUGCCUGAGUGUUUUUCUUCCACUCCAGCAUCAGUGAUUUUGUUG
RNAcentral lists this microRNA precursor (60 nucleotides) under Ictalurus punctatus (channel catfish). Its description in RNAcentral is "microRNA ipu-mir-338 precursor (ipu-mir-338-1)". Its record names the gene ipu-mir-338-1. It matches the Rfam family "mir-338 microRNA precursor family", at positions 6 to 65 of the family's 69-position model. The record is from miRBase by way of RNAcentral. Lineage: Eukaryota; Metazoa; Chordata; Actinopteri; Siluriformes; Ictaluridae.